AUGAACAUGGGUGUACAAAUAUCUCGUCAAGAUCCUGCUUUCAGUUCUUUUGGAUAUAUACUCAGAAGUGGAAUUGCUGGAUCAUAUGGACCCAUCAUGCUGGCCCAAGGUGGAAAGCAAGAGAACUACAGAUUGUGGGAGAAAGAAAGCAGCGGUUCCCUGAAGGUAUUUCUUGAAACACUGGAGGAGAAUGGAGCUAGCUCAAAUGGGAAUAGUGCAUGUGGAAACAGCAGAAAGCCUCCCAACACUCAUUUUGUGCAGUGAGUCUCCUAUCCUGACCACAGCGAAUUGGACCAGGUGAGGGUACCUGAGCUAACCUGGGCUAGGGUCCCUUUCCCAGGAACUUUGAAUUAACACUAAGGGAUCCUCGCUUAUGUUCUGGCUGCUCUAUUAAAUGGAGACAAUGCAAAAAUGGGAGCUUGACCUGCCAUUUUGCCCGACCUAGCCUGCCCCUCAGAGAAAGUGAGAGGAGAAUGACUGAAGCCCAAUCACAGCAAGGGACAGAGACAAAAAGACCUGAGUGCUUUUCCAUCCUACGCUAGUCUCUGCUUGCUGAGGCUAAGUGCAUCCCUGCCCAGAAUCCUAAUAGCAAUUAUCCCCCUGUGCCUAUGCCAGCUCCAGUAAGUCCCUGGUAAAGCUCCUGCUGCUCCAUCUCAGGAGAAUCCCGGAUCCUGAUCAGUGCCUCAAUAUUGCAGAACAGAGGGAGUGAGGGAAAUAUUUAAUUUCCAACUCUGAAGGUCUACCAUGGAGAAGAGAGGAGCAGAAGGAAGAACUUAAUACUGGUGGAGCACUUGGUAAAAUGAAAAUAAAUAUUCUUUUUCUUUUUUUGAGAUGGAGUUUCACUCUUGUCUCCCAGGCUCGAGUGCAAUGGCGCAAUCUCGGCUCACUGCAACCUCCGCCUCCCGGGUUCAAGUGAUUCUCCUGCCUCAGUCUCCUGAGUAGCUGGGAUUACAGGCGCCCACCAUCACACUCGGCUAAUUUUUGUAUUUUUAGAAGAGAUGGGGUUUCACCACGUUGGCCAGGCUGCUCUUGAACUCCUAACCUCAGGUGAUUCACCCACCUCAGCCUCCCAAAGCGCUGGGAUUACAGAAAUGAGCCACUGCACCU
RNAcentral lists this long non-coding RNA (1107 nucleotides) under Papio anubis (olive baboon). RNAcentral's name for it is "lncRNA (ENSPANG00000039436.1)". The record is from RNAcentral. Lineage: Eukaryota; Metazoa; Chordata; Mammalia; Primates; Cercopithecidae.